UUAUGGGAACUGUCAUCUGCAAAAGGAAGAGGAAAAAUACAUUGCUGGUAGAAGCAGAAAUUCUCAUGAGUCAUAUUAUUCAUGAUUAAUCAGAUAUAUGGAAGAAAAUGUAGUAAUACCAUCCUUGGUGUGUGACUACAAGGGAGUGGAUAUAUUUCCCUCAACAUGGACCAUGUGAUAGAUCGCAAAUGGGAAGCUCUGAAGGUUCAUAAUUUCAUCAGCCCAUCUAUCCAGAUCUUCAUCAAGGGUGAUGUCGCCAGUGACUAUCAAGUGAAUGCUGGCUGGUUAGUGCCAUCAUCGUCAUGGAGUAAUAAAUGGUAACAAGCUGCUUUCAGAAACAAGUUGCCUCCUGAAGAAUUAUAGUGUCAAAAUAGAAAUUAUGCAGCAGAGUUGAAAAGAUGAAGGGUUUGAGGUAAUUUGUGUAUCUUUUAACGUUGUUUGAAAGGGUUGUUAGUGUAGUGGGGUUAUCUAAACGUUUUGUCAUUACUACAUUUGGAUGUUGAGAUGAGUUGUAAAUAGUAGUAUUUUAUCGGUCCCAUUGAGAUGUGUUAACUUUUUUAGGUAAACUUUUUAAGUUGAAAUGGGUUGAGAUGAGAGAGAGAGAGAGAGAGAGUAGUAAUAUUUUUUGUAACUUCCAGCUAAAAAUGGCUUCAUGGAACAAUUUCUUGCAGCUCCUCAAUGACCAUGCGAAUUUUUUUUUAUUAGUUAA
Juglans microcarpa x Juglans regia is the source of this 709-nucleotide long non-coding RNA. RefSeq lists it as uncharacterized. The record is from RefSeq and is a predicted model, not a curated record. The transcript has 2 exons. Lineage: Eukaryota; Viridiplantae; Streptophyta; Magnoliopsida; Fagales; Juglandaceae.